GGCUCGAACAGUUUGGUCAUCUGAGUCUCUCUUGUCAGAAUAAUAUCGCAUCUGCUGAGGGAUCUUCCAGGACUCCGUUUGUCUGAAUGAAUCUAUGAAUGGGCUUUUUCCACGUGUAUCUGUUUUUCAGUGACUCAUCUCUCCAAAGACUAGAAAGCUAGCUUAGCUUAGCUUGGCUGGGUACGAAACCUAGCACCACUGUCGGUAGUAACUGUCUGAUGAAGUUGUGUUUUUAACGGAGAAAAAUCAUCAGUAUCGUUUUGUAAACAUGUCUAAAGUCUCCGGUCUGAGAGCUUUUGUGAACCAGCGACUCUCCGAGGCUGCUGAGGAGAUAUUUGGACUGUAUGAGAGAACAAUAGAGGAGUACGAGGAGCAGCUCCGUCGAUCCAAAGAGGAAAACGAGAGACAGCAGAAACGACUGGACGCUCUUUUGAGCCCCCAGCUUUACAUACAAGGAGCAGGGAAUCAAACACUGCGCACACAAGCUACCAGCGAAGAAGAACUAAAUGAAGAAGGACCCACUGCAGCAUGACAUCCUGAUUUAAUUUCUUUUGAAGCUGGACAUUAUACUGUUCCAUUGAUGCCAUCCAUGCCUUCCAAAUCCUUGUGGAAGCUCUUCUAGCGGGCUUGGGCGGCUUUCCAGGGUGACCAGCAGCUGUCGUGUACAGAACAGGUUCCCCCUGAGCAGCAGGAGUGGAGCCCUGGCCUGGAGCAGGAGGUCACUGAGCCUCCACACAUUAAAGAGGAACAGGAGGAACUGUGGAGCAGUCAGGAGGGAGGGAGAGAGGUUUACCCUGUCAAGUUCCCUUUCUCUCUUGUCUCUGUCAAGAGUGAAGAUGAUGAAGAGAAACCUCACUUCAACCAGCUUCAUGAAAUGCAAACUGAAGAGUUGAAAGCAGAAGCUGAUGAAGGAGACUGUGGAGGAUCACAAAAGGCGAGAAAUUUACAUCCAGAGACCGAAAAUAAGAUUGAUGACUCCUCUGGAGCUGAGACCGAUGCCAGAAGGGACACAACAGAACAUCAGCCAGAUUCAGGAAACUUUGAAAAUACGAGAUCAAAUAUUGACAAAAUUUCACAUAGCUCUCCCGGGGGCGUUACAUCCGAAUCUGAAGGAAGAGUGAUUAAACACAUGGGAAUUACCCAAAGGGAGAAACCGUUUAGCUGCCAUCAGUGUGGUAAACAGUUUUUAGAUAAAGGACACCUGACCAGACAUAUGUCAAUUCACACUGACGAGAAAGGCUUCAGCUGCUCUUAUUGUGGUGAAAGAUUUGAACAAAAGAUGAGUAUGAUCAAACACAUGAUACUUCAUACAGGAGGGAAACCUUACAGCUGCUCUGAGUGUGGUGUAAGAUUUAUUCACAAGUCCAAACUGACCAGACACAUGUUGAUCCACACAGGAGAGAAACCCUUCAGCUGCUCUCAGUGUGAUAAAAGCUUUAAAAAUAGGUCUGGUCUUGUAACACAUAUGUUAGUUCACACAGGAGAGAUACUCUUUAACUGCUUUGUUUGUAAUAAAGGUUUUAAAUACAAGUCUUCUUUAAAUUCACACUUGUUAGUUCACACAGGAGAGAAACCUUUUAGCUGCUCUGAGUGUGAUAAAAGAUUCAAGAAGAAGUCUCAUCUGAUUGCACACAGGACAGUUCACUCAGGAGAGAAACCCUUUAGUUGCUCUGAGUGUGGUAAAAGAUUUGGUCAAAAGGGUACUCUGACGGCACACAUCAAACGUCACAGAAGUAGAGAAACCCUUCAGCUCUAGGGUUUGUGAACAGAUAUUUCUAAGUGUUUAAAAAGUUACAAGUGUAUUGGAGGUCGGGCUUCAGAAAACGAAGAAAUGCAAAAGCUACAGUGUAAGAGUAGAACUCCUCUGGAACUCUGUUAGAUGAUAAAUUUGACGACCAAAGACUAAAAGCUUCUUAAGAUGAGACUGAAGACAGAUGAGAUGAUUGAGAAAGACCAAAAGCAUCAGCCAGGUUUCAGUUCUGAGACUCAAAUCACUAACCUGCAGAAACAGAGAUGAAUGCAGCUCUUCUGUGGCUAAUUGUGACUCUUUUAGGUCCUGCUUACUUAAAAGAGUCACAGCUUACUUCCAGGAACAUUAUGCUAUAAUGAAAUAUCAGCUAAAUUGAUAAAAGGCUAGUAACAUCAAUCUAUGAACAACAAAGUUGCUGAAUGAGUCGACGGCACACAUCAGAAGUCCUUCCAAUUAUUUCGUCUUUUGUGCAAAACCUGACUUCAAAUUGUUUGUGUGGCAGGAGUAUCAGAAAAGUUUAUCUAAUAUCAUUUUCUUGUGUGAAAAUUCUAACAAAAUGAAAAUCCGUUACUUUUGUUUCCCUUGAAUAGAAUGGAAACUUCACUGAAACUUGCUAUGUUAUGGGCUCACCAUUAGUGCUUUGUCAUCCGUCAUGCUAUUUUUGAAGGUUUUUUUUAUUAUUUUUUAUUAUUUUUAUUUUAAUUGUUAUCCACAAAAUAUUGUGUAUUUAUCCGUUAGUAGUGGUGGUUGUGCUGUUAUGGACUCUGAUGAUCAGUAAUGUGUUGUCUAAUACCUGCUAUUUUUUACUUUAACCAGUGCUUUGUUAUAGCUUUUGCACUGUACCUCAUGUAUUUCAUUCUUAAAUAAAUAUCACUAUUAUACCUGUUCUAAAAGCAAAUGCUUUCUGUGAAGAAAGAGCAUUUUUUGGAUUGCUGCUAUCGUAACAAUAUCUUCUGGACAAUAUUGCUAAUUGCUAUUGUGAUUACGAUUUAAUGCAUUAAUGGUAACAUGUGACUGUUGCAUGGCUAUCGAGGAAGUUUUCUACAGUACUGCUUUCAAAAUAAACCAAUC
Cheilinus undulatus (humphead wrasse) is the source of this 2821-nucleotide RNA transcript. It is a transcript of the gene named zinc finger protein 135-like, with no coding region annotated. Lineage: Eukaryota; Metazoa; Chordata; Actinopteri; Labriformes; Labridae. The transcript is spliced from 3 exons. The record is from RefSeq and is a predicted model, not a curated record.